RNAcentral lists this unclassified non-coding RNA (219 nucleotides) under Hevea brasiliensis (rubber tree). The record is from RNAcentral. Lineage: Eukaryota; Viridiplantae; Streptophyta; Magnoliopsida; Malpighiales; Euphorbiaceae.
UAUUGAGAUUAAUAAAAUUGUUGAAAAUUAAUUCUCUUUGCUAUAGGAUUUGUUCCACGUUCUUCUUUGUUCUGCUUCAAUUUUGGUAUCAGAGCCCAAAUUCAAUCCAAAUUUUCAUAAGCUUUCGCAAACUUUCAGACCUUCCAUUGUGCCCUCAAAAUUUCCCUCUAAUCUGUCCAAAAUUUUUUGCCUUGUUUACUGAUUAAAAAAAAAAAAAAA